CCAUCCAGCCUUCUGCCUUGCUGAUUGAUGAUUGAAAAAAAAUCACCUAUUUUGUUAUUAUGACUGUGGAAUGUCUUUUGUUCAUUUUAAUAUUUGUGUCACCAAAAGGAUCAACGUGGAAUGGAUAUGGCAUUAAAGGAGAAUGUCAAAUACUGCAUGGGAUGGCUAAGGCCUGUUCCACACAUUCUGGGGUGCCCCUGUGAUAAUAAUAGGUGCUGAUAAACUUCCAUGUUGAGAAAGUUCACAUAUGGAGAUGCUUUCUUCUUCGUGGACUGAUGCAUAGUCCCCAAAACCUUCUUCAACACGGCAUCAGCGCAAUCUCCUUUGACCCACCCAUUUCCCCCAAAAUCCCUUCCUCAGAAAAAUUCAUCAUCCCACCUCUCUACAUUAAAAGCACCUUAACCUUCUAA
RNAcentral lists this long non-coding RNA (410 nucleotides) under Homo sapiens (human). RNAcentral's name for it is "HSALNT0279898". Lineage: Eukaryota; Metazoa; Chordata; Mammalia; Primates; Hominidae. The record is from RNAcentral.